CAUCCUAGUGACAUGUCACUUGUAUCCUAAUCUAUUCCUAAGGUUCAAAUGGGAUUUUUCCCUCGAUAUCACAUUUGUCGUCUUCCAUGGAAUAUCAGAACCGAUACUCGGUAGCAAUUCAUAUUUAUCAAGUAGUAAACAUAAUUUGCAUAUUACUCAACAUUAACCACAAAGCAUAAUAUUUCACGAUUAAAAAUUAGCGUAUCAUAUAAUUAACAUCAAUAACUUAAAAAUAACAAUUAUGCUACAUUAUUUACACAUGAACUUACCUUGGUACCAAA
This 281-nucleotide long non-coding RNA is filed under the name Gossypium barbadense (sea-island cotton). RNAcentral's name for it is "long non-coding RNA (GBAR_LNC008103)". The record is from RNAcentral. Lineage: Eukaryota; Viridiplantae; Streptophyta; Magnoliopsida; Malvales; Malvaceae.